Molecule: small RNA, 28 nt
Filed under: Bombyx mori (domestic silkworm)
Lineage: Eukaryota; Metazoa; Arthropoda; Insecta; Lepidoptera; Bombycidae
Description: ovarian small RNA-15968
Source: RNAcentral
GAGGUGUGAAUGUCCAGUUCAGGACCAC